AAAAGGUUUGGUCCUAGCCCUACUAUCAAUUAUUUCUUAAAUUACACAUGCAAGUCUCAGCAUCCCCGUGAGGACACCCUAUCCCCUUAACCAGGCUAAGGAGCUGGUAUCAGGCACAAUAUCUGCCCACAACACCUAGUCUUACCACACCCACAAGGGCAUUCAGCAGUGAUAUAUAUUGUUUAUAAGCGACAGCUUGACUCAGUUAAAGAAAGUAGAGCCGGCCAACUCGGUGCCAGCCGCCGCGGCUAAACCGCACGGGCUCAAAUUGAUAAUAAUCGGCGUUAAGCGUGAUUAAAGUUCCCAACGAUUAGAAUAAAAUCCACACUUAGCUGUGAAAAGCUUGAUGUGAGAGAAGACCAAAAACGAAAGUUAUUCUAAUUAACCACUUGAAUACACGACAGCUAGAAAACAAACUGGGA
Molecule: ribosomal RNA, 422 nt
Filed under: Nanorana sp. 2Ba
Lineage: Eukaryota; Metazoa; Chordata; Amphibia; Anura; Dicroglossidae
Description: partial 12S ribosomal RNA
Source: RNAcentral